RNAcentral lists this ribosomal RNA (303 nucleotides) under Triticum aestivum (bread wheat). Its description in RNAcentral is "partial small subunit ribosomal RNA". Lineage: Eukaryota; Viridiplantae; Streptophyta; Magnoliopsida; Poales; Poaceae. The record is from RNAcentral.
AUGAAGCACCCGGUGACGAAGACACAGUUGUGGUUGGGGACGUACUCUUCCCUCGAGGUCACCGCGUGCGCCUACGACCUCGCGGCUAGGAAGAUGAAGGGCAUAAAGGCAAAGCUCAACUUCCCCUACCCUCCGCCGGCUAGACUGGUUAAGGAGGUGAUCGCUGCACCGAGGCACCGCAGCCAUGGUCACGACACACCACUCUUUGAAGUCGUUAUAAGGGAAUCAUGGAACAUCUCAACCAGCCCACUUGUUUCAGUAGGCAUUGUUGCUAUUUUUAUGAGUAAGGAAGCUUUCAUGUGA